RNAcentral lists this ribosomal RNA (762 nucleotides) under Paenibacillus vulneris. RNAcentral's name for it is "bacterial SSU rRNA". It matches the Rfam family "Bacterial small subunit ribosomal RNA", at positions 1 to 771 of the family's 1533-position model. The record is from RNAcentral. Lineage: Bacteria; Bacillati; Bacillota; Bacilli; Caryophanales; Paenibacillaceae.
UAGAGUUUUGAUCCUGGCUCAGGACGAACGCUGGCGGCGUGCCUAAUACAUGCAAGUCGAGCGGUCCCUUCGGGGAUAGCGGCGGACGGGUGAGUAACACGUAGGCAACCUGCCUGUAAGAUUGGGAUAACUAUCGGAAACGAUAGCUAAGACCAGAUAACUGGUUCUCUCGCAUGAGGGGAUCAUGAAACACGGGGUAACCUGUGGCUUACAGAUGGGCCUGCGGCGCAUUAGCUAGUUGGUAGGGUAACGGCCUACCAAGGCGACGAUGCGUAGCCGACCUGAGAGGGUGAUCGGCCACACUGGGACUGAGACACGGCCCAGACUCCUACGGGAGGCAGCAGUAGGGAAUCUUCCGCAAUGGACGCAAGUCUGACGGAGCAACGCCGCGUGAGUGAUGAAGGUUUUCGGAUCGUAAAGCUCUGUUGCCAGGGAAGAACGCCUAGGAGAGUAACUGCUCUUAGGGUGACGGUACCUGAGAAGAAAGCCCCGGCUAACUACGUGCCAGCAGCCGCGGUAAUACGUAGGGGGCAAGCGUUGUCCGGAAUUAUUGGGCGUAAAGCGCGCGCAGGCGGUCAUUUAAGUUUGGUGUUUAAGCCCGGGGCUCAACCCCGGAUCGCACUGAAAACUGGGUGACUUGAGUGCGGGAGAGGAAAGUGGAAUUCCACGUGUAGCGGUGAAAUGCGUAGAGAUGUGGAGGAACACCAGUGGCGAAGGCGACUUCGGACCGUAACGACGCGAGGCGGAAAGCUGCAGCACCCU